Molecule: ribosomal RNA, 2826 nt
Filed under: Serratia marcescens
Lineage: Bacteria; Pseudomonadati; Pseudomonadota; Gammaproteobacteria; Enterobacterales; Yersiniaceae
Description: bacterial LSU rRNA
Rfam family: Bacterial large subunit ribosomal RNA
Source: RNAcentral
AGCGUACACGGUGGAUGCCUAGGCAGUCAGAGGCGAUGAAGGGCGUGCUAAUCUGCGAAAAGCGUCGGUAAGGUGAUAUGAACCGUUAUAACCGGCGAUACCCGAAUGGGGAAACCCAGUGUGUUUCGACACACUAUCAUGUCAUGAAUACAUAGUGGCAUGAGGCGAACCGGGGGAACUGAAACAUCUAAGUACCCCGAGGAAAAGAAAUCAACCGAGAUUCCCCCAGUAGCGGCGAGCGAACGGGGAGGAGCCCAGAACCUGAAUCGGCUUGUGUGUUAGUGGAAGCGUCUGGAAAGUCGCGCAGCAAAGGGUGAUAGCCCCGUACACUAAAAUGCACAGGUCGUGAGUUCGAUGAGUAGGGCGGGACACGUGACAUCCUGUCUGAAUAUGGGGGGACCAUCCUCCAAGGCUAAAUACUCCUGACUGACCGAUAGUGAACCAGUACCGUGAGGGAAAGGCGAAAAGAACCCCGGCGAGGGGAGUGAAAUAGAACCUGAAACCGUGUACGUACAAGCAGUGGGAGCACCUUCGUGGUGUGACUGCGUACCUUUUGUAUAAUGGGUCAGCGACUUAUAUUUUGUAGCAAGGUUAACCGUAUAGGGGAGCCGUAGGGAAACCGAGUCUUAACUGGGCGUCUAGUUGCAAGGUAUAGACCCGAAACCCGGUGAUCUAGCCAUGGGCAGGUUGAAGGUUGGGUAACACUAACUGGAGGACCGAACCGACUAAUGUUGAAAAAUUAGCGGAUGACUUGUGGCUGGGGGUGAAAGGCCAAUCAAACCGGGAGAUAGCUGGUUCUCCCCGAAAGCUAUUUAGGUAGCGCCUCGUGAACUCAUCUUCGGGGGUAGAGCACUGUUUCGGCUAGGGGGCCAUCCCGGCUUACCAAACCGAUGCAAACUCCGAAUACCGAAGAAUGUUAUCACGGGAGACACACGGCGGGUGCUAACGUCCGUCGUGAAGAGGGAAACAACCCAGACCGCCAGCUAAGGUCCCAAAGUCAUGGUUAAGUGGGAAACGAUGUGGGAAGGCAUAGACAGCCAGGAUGUUGGCUUAGAAGCAGCCAUCAUUUAAAGAAAGCGUAAUAGCUCACUGGUCGAGUCGGCCUGCGCGGAAGAUGUAACGGGGCUAAACCAUGCACCGAAGCUGCGGCAGCGACGCUUAGGCGUUGUUGGGUAGGGGAGCGUUCUGUAAGCCGUUGAAGGUGGCCUGUGAGGGUUGCUGGAGGUAUCAGAAGUGCGAAUGCUGACAUAAGUAACGAUAAAGCGGGUGAAAAGCCCGCUCGCCGGAAGACCAAGGGUUCCUGUCCAACGUUAAUCGGGGCAGGGUGAGUCGACCCCUAAGGCGAGGCUGAAAAGCGUAGUCGAUGGGAAACAGGUUAAUAUUCCUGUACUUGGUGUUACUGCGAAGGGGGGACGGAGAAGGCUAGGCUAGCCGGGCGACGGUUGUCCCGGUUUAAGCGUGUAGGGGGUGUGACCUGGUAAAUCCGGUUGCAUAUCAACCCUGAGGCGUGAUGACGAUGCACUACGGUGCAGAAGUAGUUGAUGCCCUGCUUCCAGGAAAAUCCUCUAAGCUCCAGGUAACAUUAAAUCGUACCCCAAACCGACACAGGUGGUCAGGUAGAGAAUACCAAGGCGCUUGAGAGAACUCGGGUGAAGGAACUAGGCAAAAUGGUGCCGUAACUUCGGGAGAAGGCACGCUGGCAUGUAGGUGAAGUCCCUUGCGGAUGGAGCUGAAGCCAGUCGAAGAUACCAGCUGGCUGCAACUGUUUAAUAAAAACACAGCACUGUGCAAACACGAAAGUGGACGUAUACGGUGUGACGCCUGCCCGGUGCUGGAAGGUUAAUUGAUGGGGUCAGCCGCAAGGCGAAGCUCUUGAUCGAAGCCCCAGUAAACGGCGGCCGUAACUAUAACGGUCCUAAGGUAGCGAAAUUCCUUGUCGGGUAAGUUCCGACCUGCACGAAUGGCGUAAUGAUGGCCAGGCUGUCUCCACCCGAGACUCAGUGAAAUUGAACUCGCUGUGAAGAUGCAGUGUACCCGCGGCAAGACGGAAAGACCCCGUGAACCUUUACUAUAGCUUGACACUGAACAUUGAGCCUUGAUGUGUAGGAUAGGUGGGAGGCUUUGAAGCGUGGACGCCAGUCUGCGUGGAGCCAUCCUUGAAAUACCACCCUUUAAUGUUUGAUGUUCUAACUCUGCCCCAUAAUCUGGGGUGAGGACAGUGUCUGGUGGGUAGUUUGACUGGGGCGGUCUCCUCCCAAAGAGUAACGGAGGAGCACGAAGGUUAGCUAAUCACGGUCGGACAUCGUGAGGUUAGUGCAAAGGCAUAAGCUAGCUUGACUGCGAGAGUGACGGCUCGAGCAGGUACGAAAGUAGGUCUUAGUGAUCCGGUGGUUCUGAAUGGAAGGGCCAUCGCUCAACGGAUAAAAGGUACUCCGGGGAUAACAGGCUGAUACCGCCCAAGAGUUCAUAUCGACGGCGGUGUUUGGCACCUCGAUGUCGGCUCAUCACAUCCUGGGGCUGAAGUAGGUCCCAAGGGUAUGGCUGUUCGCCAUUUAAAGUGGUACGCGAGCUGGGUUUAGAACGUCGUGAGACAGUUCGGUCCCUAUCUGCCGUGGGCGUUGGAAGAUUGAGAGGGGUUGCUCCUAGUACGAGAGGACCGGAGUGAACGCACCACUGGUGUUCGGGUUGUCAUGCCAAUGGCAUUGCCCGGUAGCUAAGUGCGGAAAAGAUAAGCGCUGAAAGCAUCUAAGCGCGAAACUUGCCUCAAGAUGAGUCUUCCCUGGGCCUUUAAGGCCCCUGAAGGAACGUUUAAGACUAAGACGUUGA